GAUGAACGCUGGCGGCGUGCCUAAUACAUGCAAGUCGAGCGAACAGACGAGGAGCUUGCUCCUCUGACGUUAGCGGCGGACGGGUGAGUAACACGUGGAUAACCUACCUAUAAGACUGGGAUAACUUCGUGAAACCGGAGCUAAUACCGGAUAAUAUAUUGAACCGCAUGGUUCAAUAGUGAAAGACGGUUUUGCUGUCACUUAUAGAUGGAUCCGCGCCGCAUUAGCUAGUUGGUAAGGUAACGGCUUACCAAGGCAACGAUGCGUAGCCGACCUGAGAGGGUGAUCGGCCACACUGGAACUGAGACACGGUCCAGACUCCUACGGGAGGCAGCAGUAGGGAAUCUUGCGCAAUGGGCGAAAGCCUGACGGAGCAACGCCGCGUGAGUGAUGAAGGUCUUCGGAUCGUAAAACUCUGUUAUUAGGGAAGAACAAAUGUGUAAGUAACUAUGCACGUCUUGACGGUACCUAAUCAGAAAGCCACGGCUAACUACGUG
RNAcentral lists this ribosomal RNA (497 nucleotides) under uncultured bacterium. Its description in RNAcentral is "partial 16S ribosomal RNA". It matches the Rfam family "Bacterial small subunit ribosomal RNA", at positions 28 to 507 of the family's 1533-position model. The record is from RNAcentral.